GGUUAAGCGACUAAGCGUACACGGUGGAUGCCCUGGCAGUCAGAGGCGAUGAAGGACGUGCUAAUCUGCGAUAAGCGCCGGUAAGGUGAUAUGAACCGUUAUAACCGGCGAUUUCCGAAUGGGGAAACCCAGUGUGACUCGUCACACUAUCAUUAACUGAAUCCAUAGGUUAAUGAGGCGAACCGGGGGAACUGAAACAUCUAAGUACCCCGAGGAAAAGAAAUCAACCGAGAUUCCCCCAGUAGCGGCGAGCGAACGGGGAGGAGCCCAGAGCCUGAAUCAGCAUGUGUGUUAGUGGAAGCGUCUGGAAAGGCGCGCGAUACAGGGUGACA
RNAcentral lists this ribosomal RNA (332 nucleotides) under Salmonella enterica. RNAcentral's name for it is "partial 23S ribosomal RNA". It matches the Rfam family "Bacterial large subunit ribosomal RNA", at positions 1 to 369 of the family's 2925-position model. RNAcentral also lists the same sequence under 5 other names. The record is from RNAcentral. Lineage: Bacteria; Pseudomonadati; Pseudomonadota; Gammaproteobacteria; Enterobacterales; Enterobacteriaceae.